GACGAACGCUGGCGGCGUGCUUAACACAUGCAAGUCGAGCGGAGAGGCCCUGCUUUUGUGGGGUGCUCGAGUGGCGCACAGGUGAGUAUCACGUGAGUAACCUCCCCUUUACUUUGGGGUAACUUCAGGAAACUGGGGUUCAUACCCGGUAUGAGCUCCUUCUACAUGGUGGUGAUUGGAAAAUUGCGGCGGUUGGGGAUGGACACGCGGUCUAUCAGUAUGUUGGCUGGGUGGUGGCUUAACGAGGCGUUGACGGGUAGCCGGCCUGAGAGGGUGACCGGCCACAAUGGGCUUGAGGUACGAGCCGUACGCCUACGUGAGGCAGCAGCGGGGGAUAUUGCACAAUGGGCGGAAGCCGUAAGCAGCAAUGUCGCGUGCUGGAUGACGGCCUUCGGGUUGGAAACCUCUUGCGCCUGUAACGCAGCGCGAGUGACGGUAACGGGUAAAGAAGCAACGGCUAACUACGUG
This 468-nucleotide ribosomal RNA is filed under the name uncultured bacterium. Its description in RNAcentral is "partial 16S ribosomal RNA". It matches the Rfam family "Bacterial small subunit ribosomal RNA", at positions 28 to 507 of the family's 1533-position model. The record is from RNAcentral.